RNAcentral lists this ribosomal RNA (465 nucleotides) under uncultured Klebsiella sp. RNAcentral's name for it is "bacterial SSU rRNA". It matches the Rfam family "Bacterial small subunit ribosomal RNA", at positions 338 to 795 of the family's 1533-position model. Lineage: Bacteria; Pseudomonadati; Pseudomonadota; Gammaproteobacteria; Enterobacterales; Enterobacteriaceae. The record is from RNAcentral.
CCUACGGGGGGCUGCAGUGGGGAAUAUUGCACAAUGGGCGCAAGCCUGAUGCAGCCAUGCCGCGUGUGUGAAGAAGGCCUUCGGGUUGUAAAGCACUUUCAGCGGGGAGGAAGGCGUUAAGGUUAAUAACCUUGGCGAUUGACGUUACCCGCAGAAGAAGCACCGGCUAACUCCGUGCCAGCAGCCGCGGUAAUACGGAGGGUGCAAGCGUUAAUCGGAAUUACUGGGCGUAAAGCGCACGCAGGCGGUCUGUCAAGUCGGAUGUGAAGUCCCCGGGCUCAACCUGGGAACUGCAUUCGAAACUGGCAGGAUAGAGUCUUGUAGAGGGGGGUAGAAUUCCAGGUGUAGCGGUGAAAUGCGUAGAGAUCUGGAGGAAUACCGGUGGCGAAGGCGGCCCCCUGGACAAAGACUGACGCUCAGGUGCGAAAGCGUGGGGAGCAAACAGGAUUAGAUACCCGGGUAGUC